UACGUAGGGUGCAAGCGUUGUCCGGAAUUAUUGGGCGUAAAGAGCUCGUAGGCGGUUUGUCGCGUCUGCUGUGAAAACUCGGGGCUUAACCCCGGGCCUGCAGUGGGUACGGGCAGACUAGAGUGCGGUAGGGGAGACUGGAAUUCCUGGUGUAGCGGUGAAAUGCGCAGAUAUCAGGAGGAACACCGGCGGCGAAGGCGGCACUCUGGGCCGGUACUGACGCUGAGGAGCGAAAGCGUGGGUAGCAAACAGG
This 253-nucleotide ribosomal RNA is filed under the name uncultured bacterium. RNAcentral's name for it is "partial 16S ribosomal RNA". It matches the Rfam family "Bacterial small subunit ribosomal RNA", at positions 524 to 776 of the family's 1533-position model. The record is from RNAcentral.